RNAcentral lists this ribosomal RNA (429 nucleotides) under Chloroflexota bacterium. RNAcentral's name for it is "Chloroflexi bacterium partial 16S ribosomal RNA". It matches the Rfam family "Bacterial small subunit ribosomal RNA", at positions 355 to 776 of the family's 1533-position model. Lineage: Bacteria; Bacillati; Chloroflexota. The record is from RNAcentral.
UAGGGAAUCUUCGGCAAUGGACGAAAGUCUGACCGAGCAACGCCGCGUGAGUGAAGAAGGUUUUCGGAUCGUAAAACUCUGUUGUUAGAGAAGAACAAGGACGUUAGUAACUGAACGUCCCCUGACGGUAUCUAACCAGAAAGCCACGGCUAACUACGUGCCAGCAGCCGCGGUAAUACGUAGGUGGCAAGCGUUGUCCGGAUUUAUUGGGCGUAAAGCGAGCGCAGGCGGUUUCUUAAGUCUGAUGUGAAAGCUCCCGGCUCAACCGGGGAGAGUCAUUGGAAACGGGGAGACUUACGUGCAGAAGAGGAUAGCGGAUUUCCAUGUGUUGCGGUCAAAUGCGUAGAUAUAUGGGGGGACUCCAGUGGCGAGGGCGGCUCUCUGGUCUGUCACUGACGCUGAGGCUCGAAAGCGUGGGGAGCAAACAGG